UGUUGUAAAUACAUCUUUUGUAAAUAUAUAGAUUUUUUUAAUAUUUAAACGCAAAUAAGAAUGGAUAAUAAGAGUAUCAAUCCAACUAAUAAUGUGGAAGAUGAGUGUAAUUUUGUGGAGUGCGAGAAUACACCAAAAUCACCGCUAUCACCAAUUUUAAACACCAGUAAAUCUUUAAAUAAAAUUCGUAGAAAUAAGAAACAUAAACGUAAAUCCUGUGAUAUAUUUGAUGCUAAAGAAGUAUUAAGGACAGCUGGCGAUGAAAGUACUUCAAACGCAGAGUUUAGUAAUAAAUAUGAUGCUGUUGGGAAUUCUAAAGAUACACUAAACAUAUUUAGUCGAAUAUAUGAACUUGAAAAAGCUGAAGAACAGAAUCAGAAUACUAUCAAACUAUUAAGUACAAAAGCAACUUUACUAGCUGAAAAUACCAAGGUACAUCAUGAUAAAAAACUAGUUCCGCAGCUAGGUUCAAUAAGUACUGAUAUUAAUUGUACACAUUUGUCUAUGAAGGAUUGUGUGAAAAGUGAUCAAACUAAAUUAGAUCAACCGAACCUCCUCAUCGGUUUUCAGACUUGUACAGGUAAAAAAAUUGAGAUGUGUAAAGACAAAGUACAGAUGCAUUCUAAGUUAUUCGAUGAUAUCUUAUAUAAUAAUGUUCCACAUGAUAAGAGUAAAAAAUUUAAUUACUUACGACAUAAACCAGCAAUGGAAGAUAACUCAAGAAUAGAUGUUGAUACUCCAUCUAAUUUUGGAAAUAUUGAUCAGGGAGUCAAAUAUGCAGAUUCUGAUGAUAGAUCAAAAAGAAUCCAUGGAGUGGGAAAAGAUUCUUUGAAAAAUUCAUUAAUUGAAGAUAAUAACAGAAAUAAUUUUAGAUCGCCAUUAAAAAAUACUUGUCAUGAUGAAGAUUUUAGUGAUCUUCAAGAAUAUACCUUGGAAAGUUUGAAUCCAAUACUGCCUGUACAUGUAAAAAAAUCUGGUAGUUCUAGACAACUUUUUAAAAUUAAUUGCGAAAAUACCCUUUCUGUACCUUCUGGGAGCUGUUCUAUAAAUAAAGCGGCUAUAAAUAAAUCAAGUAAAAACAUCUUUGCUGGAGAAAACUUUGAUGAUCUUAAAACAAGUGAUUUUCAAGGCUUUAAAGUAGCAUCAUCUAGUUUAACAACACUUGAAGACACAUAUAAAGUUACUUGGGGAAAAGAUAACAUACAUCAGCACAAAGAUGAAAAUUCUAAACAUUUUUGUGAAGAUAAAAAUUAUAUUAAUGCUGAAAAUUCUAUCUUAAAUCAUGUUAAUAUUUUUAAAGAUGAAAAUUUUGAUGGUUUGGGAAUAAGAAAUUUUAAAGUUAAUAAUAAAAGUGCCACGUCUGAAACCAUUUCUAUAAAUAAAACGGUGGUAAAUAAAUCAAGUAAUAAUAUCUUUGGUGGAGAAAACUUUGAUGAUCUCAAAACAAACAAUUUUGAAGGCUUUAAAGUAGCAUCGACUAGUUUAGCAGCAUUUGAAGACACAUAUAAAGUUGGUUUGGGAAAAGAUAACAUAUAUCAACACAGAGAUGAAAAUUCAAAAUAUUUGAGUGCAGAUCAAAAUGCAAUGAAUGAUGAAAAUUGUGUUUCAAUUCACGUUAAUAUAUUUAACGGUGAAAAUUUUGAUGAUUUAGGAGUAAGAAAUUUUGAAGGAUUUAAAGCAGCAACUACAUCAUUAAAGCAAGCUCAGAUCACUGACAAUUGUAAUGAAGAAAAGAAGUCAAUUCAUCCAAAUCCAUUUCCAAAUCAAAAUAUUAAGGCUGCUACACAUUUUCCAGAAAGAAGGUCAAAUUUUAGAAACAUAUUUGAAGGGGAGAAUUUUGAUGACUUAAAUAUGAAUUUAGCUAAUAUACAUAAUGUUGCUAGAUCUGUUAGUCAUUUCAAACCAGCAAAUAUUGAAAAAGGUGAAAAUACAUAUGAAGCUUUGGAAGGAAACAAAGUCAAUAAUGUUGUGCCUUUGUCGAGGACUAGCAAAUUACAAAGUAAUAAAAAACCUUUUACAUGUCCAUAUAAACUAAAAAAUCUUAGUACAACAAUUGAAGUCAGAGAAGACCAGGAACAAUUUUUGGGGUUUUACAAUACAGAGCAAGAUAUAAGCGAGAAAAUAUCAGAGAGCUAUUGUGAUAUUAUUAACAUUAUUAGUAACAAAUUUAAUAAUAUUAAAAGAACAAGAAGUAAAAAAAGUUUAUUAAACACAAAAAAUAUAGAAAAUUUGGCCAAAAUUGUGCGAUUAAAAUCGGACGAAUUAUUAUCAAAAGCUGAUAUAAAGGUCAGAAGUGAUAAAAAUAAUAAAAGAAAGUUUUCUGAAUUAGAAUCAGACCAAUAUAAUCAAGUCAGUGAAAAAAAUAUUGUUGGUACUCCUAUAAAUAACAACUCAAAAAGAUCUAGGAGAAGACUAGGAUGUAAUUUUUCUCCAACAAUCCUUAUAGAUCAGUCGGAAUAUAAAAAGGCUCAACAUAUCUUUGACGACAUCCUGUCCAAACCGACAACGUCAACACCAAUGAAACAGAACGAAUCGAGUUACAAACCUAUAGCAUGUGAUUUAACUCCUAUACAAAAUAGUAAACUAGCUUUAAGAAGGGAGUAUAUGAGUGAAAGUAAUUUAUCAGAUAGUUAUCAAACAGCAGUAAAAGACCAAACGUUAGUGAACGAAUUCAAUUCGAAUACUCGCUACAAUCUAAAUAGACCAACUAAUGGAGAUGUCUCUGUAUGGAUAGAAAAUUUACUAUCAGAGAGAAAAGCGCUAGAAGAAAAGUUAGAAGUUAUAAAAGAGAAAGAGAAUCUACUAAAUAGUCAGAAAUAUGAGAUACAACAAAGUCAAGUCAAAAGAGAAAUACUGUAAAACCCGGUAUAUUAUACAGCUCAAAACUAAAUAAACCCAGAAAGUUAUCAUUAAAAGAUGUUAUAGGUAAUGAAUGGAUUGAAGAAAUGGACGGAGGCCUUAUAAAUCAAGUUAACCCUCAAAACGCUCAUUUAGUUCAUUUUGUUUUAGAUAAAAGAAUUUCUCAUCAAAGAACACAGGAUGGCGCUAUU
RNAcentral lists this unclassified non-coding RNA (3050 nucleotides) under Sitophilus oryzae (rice weevil). Its description in RNAcentral is "breast cancer type 2 susceptibility protein homolog, transcript variant X2". Lineage: Eukaryota; Metazoa; Arthropoda; Insecta; Coleoptera; Curculionidae. The record is from RNAcentral.